ACUUAAGAAUUCACCAACCCCGUGAUUAUAAGACUGACAGAAAAAAAAAUAAACGUCCUCCUGUGGGAGAACCAAGCCACUCGUGCAGAGAAAACUGUGUCCUUGGCUCCCACGAAGAAGCAACCAUCAUGUCUGGCUGCACAGCAUCAAGGGCUGGGGAAGGUCCAAUACACUGAACAGAAUGAAAAUGGUCAUAGUCAUCCUUGACCCAGAACUAAAAGAAAUGAUUCUGCCCCGAGCUGGGGCUUCCUUGUUGGCAGUGUGGCAGUCCUGAUGCCUUCUGGUAAAAGUCAAGUUGACGACGGAUGGGGGAAGGACCUGUAAGUUGAAGAACACACCCUACAUUGGGAGGAUUUUAAUCUUGACCUUGG
Molecule: long non-coding RNA, 371 nt
Filed under: Rattus norvegicus (Norway rat)
Lineage: Eukaryota; Metazoa; Chordata; Mammalia; Rodentia; Muridae
Description: long non-coding RNA NONRATT009084
Source: RNAcentral